This 1220-nucleotide long non-coding RNA is filed under the name Homo sapiens (human). Its description in RNAcentral is "HSALNT0328989". The record is from RNAcentral. Lineage: Eukaryota; Metazoa; Chordata; Mammalia; Primates; Hominidae.
UUCUUUACUUGGGCAUAGAACAUGCCCGGUGUUAAAAUAGCUUCAGCUAAAUAGUCCAAAUUUUAGGAAAAUAUCUGCAUAUUUAGGAGAAUAAUUAUGCAUGGCCUUUUAUGGGUGUGAUAAACUAUACCAUCAAAGAAAGUGUAUCCUUUUGUCAUACAGGCCAUUACCAACAGCAGAUUACACAUUAUAUAUAAGGCAUAGUUUAGAUAGAAGCCUAAAAAUUCCUUGGGUUACUGUGCAGACUUGUCACAUCAGAAAUGUUCUAACCUUAAUACAGGUUAUAAUUAGGACACAUUUAUUCUUUCUUAUUUCCUAGGUUAUGCAAGUAGAUUUGAUACCUGGUCACUUGUAGGAUAAAGACGGGACAGCAGAAAAGCACGUAACCUCUGAUUAAAUCGUUUUUCAGGGCAGAGUGACCUUUGUGCCACUUGCUUGUAGUGAAGAAAGAUAGAACUUCUUCAGCUCAAAAUAAACAGUUCUCUCUGGAAGUCAGUUUUCUGAGUAGUCUACAUACGGGCUUUUUUGAAAUGAGGCUUGAGCUGGUUUCAGACUCAAACUGGUAUUAAUUGCCAACCACUAUGAUACUUUUAGGGUAUUAGGGAUGUAUAUGUUGGAGGACAGGAGAAAAAUGGAGAUUACCUAGAGAUGAGAGAUAAAAGUCCUGCGUCAGGGAAUUUGGGGCUGAGAGGCAAAACUGAAUUCUUUUAUUAAACAUGUUCCAGAGAAACAAGAGUGAAAGCUUCAAAACAUGGUGCUAAUAUUUUUAACUUAGAAUCAACUGUUUAAACAAAGGAAUAUGUGGUGCUACAGAGGCUGGAGGUACUGUGGCCAACACAAGGUUGAACAAGGUUGAAUUGUGAUAGUCUUAGUUCUAAGGCAGAUGUGUAAGUGAGUCCACAGAUGUCAUGGUAUCAGACCUGAUGAGAGAAAAGGAUACUGAGGAAGACCACGAGGAAAAACCAGAAGAUGGCCAUCCACAAGCCUAGGAGAGUAGCCUCAGAAGAAACCAUCCCUGCUGACAUCUUGAUCUUGGACUUCUAGACUCCAGAAUUGUAAGAAAAUAAUUCACUGUUGUUUAAACCACCCAGUAUUUUGUGUGUAUUACGGCAGCUCUAGCAAGCUAAGGCAGAACAGUCGUGUAAAAGGAAAAGUUUCUGUUUACACAGUUCCAAAUGGCAGCCUGUUAUUCAAAUACCAACCACUGAAUGAGUCCUUCA